Molecule: ribosomal RNA, 1530 nt
Filed under: Escherichia coli O104:H4 str. C227-11
Lineage: Bacteria; Pseudomonadati; Pseudomonadota; Gammaproteobacteria; Enterobacterales; Enterobacteriaceae
Also listed under: 5 other names
Description: bacterial SSU rRNA
Rfam family: Bacterial small subunit ribosomal RNA
Source: RNAcentral
AGAGUUUGAUCAUGGCUCAGAUUGAACGCUGGCGGCAGGCCUAACACAUGCAAGUCGAACGGUAACAGGAAGCAGCUUGCUGUUUCGCUGACGAGUGGCGGACGGGUGAGUAAUGUCUGGGAAACUGCCUGAUGGAGGGGGAUAACUACUGGAAACGGUAGCUAAUACCGCAUAACGUCGCAAGACCAAAGAGGGGGACCUUCGGGCCUCUUGCCAUCGGAUGUGCCCAGAUGGGAUUAGCUUGUUGGUGGGGUAACGGCUCACCAAGGCGACGAUCCCUAGCUGGUCUGAGAGGAUGACCAGCCACACUGGAACUGAGACACGGUCCAGACUCCUACGGGAGGCAGCAGUGGGGAAUAUUGCACAAUGGGCGCAAGCCUGAUGCAGCCAUGCCGCGUGUAUGAAGAAGGCCUUCGGGUUGUAAAGUACUUUCAGCGGGGAGGAAGGGAGUAAAGUUAAUACCUUUGCUCAUUGACGUUACCCGCAGAAGAAGCACCGGCUAACUCCGUGCCAGCAGCCGCGGUAAUACGGAGGGUGCAAGCGUUAAUCGGAAUUACUGGGCGUAAAGCGCACGCAGGCGGUUUGUUAAGUCAGAUGUGAAAUCCCCGGGCUCAACCUGGGAACUGCAUCUGAUACUGGCAAGCUUGAGUCUCGUAGAGGGGGGUAGAAUUCCAGGUGUAGCGGUGAAAUGCGUAGAGAUCUGGAGGAAUACCGGUGGCGAAGGCGGCCCCCUGGACGAAGACUGACGCUCAGGUGCGAAAGCGUGGGGAGCAAACAGGAUUAGAUACCCUGGUAGUCCACGCCGUAAACGAUGUCGACUUGGAGGUUGUGCCCUUGAGGCGUGGCUUCCGGAGCUAACGCGUUAAGUCGACCGCCUGGGGAGUACGGCCGCAAGGUUAAAACUCAAAUGAAUUGACGGGGGCCCGCACAAGCGGUGGAGCAUGUGGUUUAAUUCGAUGCAACGCGAAGAACCUUACCUGGUCUUGACAUCCACAGAACUUUCCAGAGAUGGAUUGGUGCCUUCGGGAGCUGUGAGACAGGUGCUGCAUGGCUGUCGUCAGCUCGUGUUGUGAAAUGUUGGGUUAAGUCCCGCAACGAGCGCAACCCUUAUCCUUUGUUGCCAGCGGUCCGGCCGGGAACUCAAAGGAGACUGCCAGUGAUAAACUGGAGGAAGGUGGGGAUGACGUCAAGUCAUCAUGGCCCUUACGACCAGGGCUACACACGUGCUACAAUGGCGCAUACAAAGAGAAGCGACCUCGCGAGAGCAAGCGGACCUCAUAAAGUGCGUCGUAGUCCGGAUUGGAGUCUGCAACUCGACUCCAUGAAGUCGGAAUCGCUAGUAAUCGUGGAUCAGAAUGCCACGGUGAAUACGUUCCCGGGCCUUGUACACACCGCCCGUCACACCAUGGGAGUGGGUUGCAAAAGAAGUAGGUAGCUUAACCUUCGGGAGGGCGCUUACCACUUUGUGAUUCAUGACUGGGGUGAAGUCGUAACAAGGUAACCGUAGGGGAACCUGCGGUUGGAUCACCU